This 31-nucleotide non-coding RNA is filed under the name Mus musculus (house mouse). The record is from RNAcentral. Lineage: Eukaryota; Metazoa; Chordata; Mammalia; Rodentia; Muridae.
UGGGAUAGUGAGGUGUCAGCAUCCAGGCCUU